This 504-nucleotide ribosomal RNA is filed under the name uncultured bacterium. RNAcentral's name for it is "partial 16S ribosomal RNA". It matches the Rfam family "Bacterial small subunit ribosomal RNA", at positions 28 to 507 of the family's 1533-position model. The record is from RNAcentral.
GACGAACGCUGGCGGCGUGCCUAAUACAUGCAAGUAGAACGCACAGUUUAUACCGUAGCUUGCUACACCAUAGACUGUGAGUUGCGAACGGGUGAGUAACGCGUAGGUAACCUGCCUGGUAGCGGGGGAUAACUAUUGGAAACGAUAGCUACUACCGCAUAAUAUUAAUUAUUGCAUGAUAAUUAAUUGAAAGGUGCAAUUGCACCACUACCAGAUGGACCUACGUUGUAUUAGCUAGUAGGUGAGGUAACGGCUCACCUAGGCGACGAUACAUAGCCGACCUGAGAGGGUGAUCGGCCACACUGGGACUGAGACACGGCCCAGACUCCUACGGGAGGCAGCAGUAGGGAAUCUUCGUCAAUGACGAAAGUCUGACCGAGCAACGCCGCGGGAGUGAAGAAGGUUUUCGGAUCGUAAAGCUCUGUUGUAAGAGAAGAACGGGUGUGAGAGUGGAAAGUUCACACUGUGACGGUAUCUUACCAGAAAGGGACGGCUAACUACGUG